Molecule: unclassified non-coding RNA, 276 nt
Filed under: plant metagenome
Description: partial contains small subunit ribosomal RNA, internal transcribed spacer 1, and 5.8S ribosomal RNA
Source: RNAcentral
UUUCCGUAGGUGAACCAGCGGAAGGAUCAUAAACGAGUAAGGGUCAAACUCCCCCGACCACCUUCCCUCUGUCUAAGUACUAUGUGGCUUUGGCGGGCCCGGUCCACGACCCCCAGCAGUCCGUGGCCCUCCCGCCCCCGCCCGCGAAUACCCAUCUACAAACUCCUGAUCAAUUUUCGUGCUUGAUUAAUAAAUAUAAUAAUUAAAACUUUCAACAACCGAUCUCUUUGUUCUGGCCUCCAUGAAGAACGCAGCAGAUCGGAAGAGCACCCGUCU